UCCUAACUAAUGCACUCCCCUCCCAUACAAAUCCCUCAUUCCGUCUUCCCCACGAACCCUAGCCAACCACACCAUCUCAGAAACUCCUUCAUCUCUUUCCACCACCAGCUAGCGGCGACUCCCAAAACCGCCCCAAACUGUCACCAUACAGUCAUCACCCACCCGUAUUUCACAAUCCAUCACGAGUUCCCCUUAAAAACUCACCAAAUCCUUUCAAUCUCGGAUCUGAAAACCCAUGAAAACAAAGAAAAACCUAAUUUUUUUCCAUUUCUCAUUUUCUGAUUUCUUGGCUCAUGGCUAUUCGUCGUGACCUAGAACCUACGUCAAUGGAGUGUUCUUGACAAAGAAAAAUCAAUUGACGUUGGUUGUGGUACAUUUAAAAACCGCUAGUUUAGACCAUUCCAAUUGAUUGGAUUUAUGAGGGUCGCUGGAGUUUGGUGUUUCUCUAGUUUGUUUCGGACCCACUAGGUAAUUUUCUACUGUUUUUAUGGUUUUCUUUUAUUCUUUCUUUCUUCUUGUUUUUUUUCUUACUAGAGCUAGUGUGUUUUGCAUCAUGCAUGAAGUAUCGGAAAUGUUUUAGCUCUAGAUAAUCAUAUUUUAGGUUCAGUGUGGAUUUUGUAAAUUAAACGGUUCAAUUAUCUGUCGUUUUUGAUUUAAUUUACACUAAUCAAUUUGAUUAUUUGGAAAAGCAGAUGUCUAGUUUGUUUGAUUAGUUGCUUUUAGGUUUUUCUUAUGGAUAAAUAACCAACUAGUUUUAGGCCAUAGUGUUUAGCUUAAUUUCGUUGUUUCUUUAGAUUGUCAAGUUUGGGUCUACUUUUGGCCUUUUGCUAUCCCUGGGUUGGGCAGAAGAAGCCUAUUAUUUUUGCUUGGGUCUUGGGUCAACUUUAAGGGGUAAAUACAUGGGUGUCAAGGGUUGUUUUGGUUAUUUGAGGAUUGGAAAUAUUUUCUAUUUUGGGGGGAAGCUUCUAGAGGAUAAAGGUAGACUUGCAUGUGAAGGGAUAAAGAAGGGUUUAGAUAUUUUAAGGGGUUAAGGGGUAAAAUGACUAAGAAAAAUAAGGGGUAAAAGGGACAACUACGGGCUGGAUAAUGAUGUCCUAAGGUUGGCUUAUAAAAGGAACUUUUGAUAAUUCUAUAGGGGGAUAGCAGAAAAGAAGCACAAAACUGACUGAAGCCUUUUCUUAAAAAAUACAGCCCUUUCAGUACUUUUCUCAACACGUAAAAACCUGAAAGCACACAUUGACAAGAAUUUCUAAAGGUAAAAAAUAUUUACAUAAAAGGUAAUCCAAAAAAUGUUCCAUUGGUUAGUUGAUGUAAUUUUUUCUGGGUUUUUGAAAGCUUGAACACCCCACUGUUUUCUAGUGUCGAACAUGGAUUAAGUUGAUGGUGUUGUUGCUGUUUAUUGUUGUUUAAAACUCUACUGAUCUCAUUGUUAUUUUGCUGAAAUUUUUUAUGAUUUGGUUUUAUCCAGGUAUUCUUUCAUUCUUGAGUAUAUGUGAAGUGCAAAUCUGAAACCAUGUAAUCGACUUGGAGAUUGAAGGAUGAAUAUUAGCUUGUUGAAUAUUAGGUUAUGUUUCUUUAAAGUCUAUCCUUGUUUCCAUAUUAUAUUAGCUUUGUUGUAUGGUUUCUUAUAUUCAUAAAUGCUAUUAUUGUUCAUAUUUUAUUUCAAGGUUUGAUUGGACUUCAUUUUAUCACGUCAGUUUUGGUUUGAUUAACUCGUUCGUCUAAUCAUAUUGCUUAGGCUUUUGUGGUAUGGAUUUGGGUUAGAUGAGGAGCAUCUCUUGGCUUUUUUUAUUUAAAUGAGUUUAGGUCAGUAGUGAGGUUCAAUCCAGGGAUGAAUUCAUGAUUUUGUUGUCUUGGCUAUUUAUUUUAAGUGCCUAAAUGUGUUUAAAAGCCAUGGUUAUUAUUGCAAUUGUCCAUCUAAAUGUACGGAGUGACCAUACCAUAAAAAGUAUGUUGCCUGCAAUUUGUUGAAUAUAUAGUUCUUGAAUAUUCUAUAGUUUGAUUCUAAAUUAGAUGAUGAACAAAUUUUAUUUUCUUUGAUGAUAUUGGUUUAGAUUAGUGUUUGAUUUACUCAUUGGCAUAUCAAUCAUUUGAAGGAUUGCAAAACAAAGUAGUCCAAAUGAGAAAAAUGCUGAACAAUGUUGAUACCCAAUUUUUUCGAUAUAUUUUUUACGCAAAAUACUUUCAAAAUAGCAUGUAUAUGCAUAUAUAGGUAUGUCCAAGUGAUUUAACAUUUGUUCUUAAUUUAUAAGGAUUUUUUAAUCAAGUUACUACCCUAUUUUAGCAGUAUAAAACCAAUAAUUAUUCCUCAAAUUAUCAUUUCGGUGAUUAUUUAUUUUAUUCUCAUAUUUAUCCCAACAUUUAACAAAGGUAGUUUUUACACAUUUUUUACAAAUUUAUUUUGUAUUUUUAAAGAUAAAUUACAUAUAAUUGUAAUAUUAGCCUAUUUUAAGAAUUAAUUGCGUUUAUAAUUACAAAUUUGAUUCCAGUAUUUUUAAUCAAAUAUUAUACAUUAAUACGUAAUUUAUCACCGUUAAUUUAUUUUCAGAAAUUAUGUUACUAAUUUAUCAAAUAAAAAGAGAAAAAGUGGCUAUUUAAAAUCUGGCCCUAAUUCAUUUCAAAUUUAUCCCAAAUUGACCCGACACAUAACUACAAUUUCAAUUUCAAUUACCCGGCCCUAUUUCUAAAGUAUCCGAACCGUUUAUUUUUACUGGCCCGACUCCCCUUUGAUCCGAUAAAAAUUAUCAACGACCACGAUUCCACCUUUCCUUUUUUAAUUUCCCAAACCCCCAACCCUAAAUAGUUUUUCACUUGAGACGCCGCCUUUGAAUUUCUUCACCAUCUCAAACUAUGUCCAACCUUCUCUGAACCCCAAUCGUCUCCUACCACUUCUAUCCUGAAACUCACCUGAAUCCAUGUCUUUUCGGGCCGUGGGAGUCUUGUACUCAUUCCCUUGCUCUUACACACCUGAUAUCUGAAGAUUCAAUGCCAGACCUCAAAGGUUUGCGCUCAAACCAUUGCCGACUCAAGUUUCGAGAGUCAUCGCCGGCCUUGCUUUGGCAGACCGUAGUUGUUUGAGCCUGGUUAAAACCUCUCUGACUCAGACCAAUGACCUUUCAAAGGCUUUCUCAUCUCUAGGGUUCUUUUGAAACCCAAACUCCUCGAGGUUUUCUCCGAUUUCUUUAAAUUUGUGGGGUAUCUGUGCUAUCUUUGAGUUUUCAACAAUCACACACUUCAGACUUCACAAUUUCACAAUCUCUUCUGAACUCACACUUAUAGUAUUCUGUCUUCCUGUUUGCACUGUCUUUUACAAUACUACUACUUUUCUACUUAUUUCUUUGAAACUGGCAAGUCCUAAUUGAAGUUUCAGCAUCACCCCAAUGUAUUUACUUACAGUCUUUGUAUCCAUGUCUACUUUAUUAUUUUCUGUAGAUUUCGACAUUCAGUUUAUUAUGCCUAUGUUCUACUAUCUGUUUUUGUUGUGAUCCUUGGCUCCCUAUCACAUUACCCUUAUGCAAGAUUGUGAGUGGUAACUUGGGAACACGAAAAUAUGAAUUGUUAUCCAUGAACUGAGUUUUCAACCAAUGGGGUCUUAAUGUCUAAACAGGUUGGAGGGUGUGCCUUCCCAUUGCUGAGUAUGCCCAUUAGCCUGCUUUUUGUGAUCUUGCUAGCCCCCUAUUCCUUAUAUCCCUAUCUGUACUAUUUACCUUCCCCUUUACCUUGUUCAGAAUUAUGCACUUGCAUUCUCUCUCUUAGUUCCUAAGUUCCAUCCCCCUCUUGUGAGCCUUUCCUUGGGACCUUAAGUUCCCUCUGAACUUGUACACCUGAGGGUUAGCCCUUCCUCAGUGUACUAUGGCUUAAUAUGGUAAUACAUUUGAAUGUAAAUACUGCCCGGAGCUCUUAUGAAAUUCUUAGGGAACUUUGACACACCUAGAUGAGAGAAUGGCUUUGAAACAUGAUCUUCGGAGUUGGUUUACUUCAUAAAUCCGACAUGAAGUCUGAAUCAGGCCCUCCUUGGUUGUAAUUUUCAAUUUCUGAUGUCUUUUCUUUUCAUUAGAUUGCAAUAACUUGUAAUAAAACCUUUUGAAGGAUGGUUAGCGAAAAGGGAGAGGUAACCAUGCAUGUAAAAAGGUAAAUAACUUGCCAAUAGGAAUCUCUAACUUGAAUAUUUCCUUGCCUAUAGGAAUCUCUAACUUAGCUAUUUUCUCAUAUAGCUAUCCUGCCUAUAAGAUUUCUGUAUUUUUUAUAUAGCUACCCUGCCUAUAAGAUUUAUACAUUUUUCAUGUUGUUAUGAUGCCUAUAAGAUGUCUGCAUUUUUCAUAUAGCUACCAUGCCUAUAAGCAAUUCCGCAUUCUCAUUAGUUACCAUGUUUGUAAUAAUCUCAGCAUUCUCAUUUAUAUGCCAUGACUAUAUGAACUUCAACAUUCUUAUUUAGAUGUCAUGACUAUAGGGAUCCUGCACUUUCAUGUAGAUAUUAUGUCAAUAGUUUCUGCACACCCACGUUGAAAAUAUUCCAAUAGGUCCUUUCUUACUCUUGCAUACCCACUUUUCACUUGGCAAACUUGCCUAUAGGUCCUAAUAACCAAAAAAAUGUAAUCAGAUAUCACGCACUGCUUAGAUAUCUUAUUGUAGAAUGCAAUUAGCUCUUGCUUAUUUUAUUUAUUUGUGACCAUCACAUGAAAAUUCCCUUGUUUGUGAAACUCUUACUUGCUUACGUGUUAUUUGCAUUUAAAUCACAAUAAUAGCUUGGCCGGAAACCACACUAGUGGAUCCUGAGGGGUGGCUAACACGUUCCCCUUGGGAUAAUUUCAAGCCCUUACCCAAUAUCUGGUUUUCAAAAUUGAACUCUCCUUAGUGUCCUAGUGCACUAUAAUCAUUAGGCGGAGACUCUUCAAUUCCUUUAAACACAAUUCCCAAAUGGGAAAGAGUUCUCCUCCCGAAUGUUAAAAACCCGAUUUCGCGAGAAAAAGGGGCGCGACAACAUGGAGACUCUACUGGGGAAUUCUUUUAGGCUUUUACCAUUUCAAGCUAUUACUGCGACUAUACGUUUCUUAUAUUCCUUUACUUGUUUAAUUCCUUUAAGCAUUUAAUUCCCUCUUCUACUACGAAACUAACUUGUCUUUUUGUUUCUUUCCCUUAUUUCUUUUACUGCUUUCCUUUACUUCAUUCCUUUAUUACUGUUUUAAAUAAUUGUAAUUAUUAUUAUGAACGUUCAAAUACGUGGAAACUUGGUUAAUUAUUGCAAUUGCAUGUUUCAAGCAUCAUAUUCCACUCGUGCCAAACAAAAAUACCAUAGGAACACUUAAAAUGAGUGGUUGCGUUCUUCCGAUAUUAUCACCCCCUGAAUUCGGCAAAUGCAUAUUUGCUAUAAAACCAGUCGAUCAACGGUGUAGUCGAUGGUUCCACGCCUUUCCCUCUUGAGUUUUCCGCUCAAGGGUACCAGUGUAAUACCCCAUAGAAACCUUACUCUGUAUAAUUGUGCAUGCAUUAUAGUCAAACCUAGCCGAGUCAGUCAUGUUUUCUGAAAAUGACUCUUUAAGAUAGCCUUGUCCAAAGUCCACUAUGUUUCACCAAAACCCAAACGAGCACUACCACAUUUUGUGCAUUAAUUUGGAGAACUAAAUGUUUCUAUGCCAAUUACUGAAAUUUGAUAGUCGAGUCUGGUGGGGGUAAGGGCCUAACCCUUUGUAUUUCAAAAACAUAUGGCACGAGGUUCCCAAAUUUGGCAUGGUCACUAACAUCCACCCCAAACUACUGAGAUGGCAGAAGGAUUUUCACUCCAGCGAUCAGACAUUCAUUCGAAAACGUUUAGAACCUACUCUCUCUCUUGGGAAUUCAACCCAACAACAAAAUCCUAAAACCUGCUACUCUAUUCUAGAAUUAUGAUGGGUCUAUAUUCCGCUCGGAGACAUUGAGAUGACACUUCUGCUCGAGGAAAUAGGAGGACUAGCUGGUAUACCGUGAGAAAUUCUAGGUUUAUUAAUGCCAGAAAAUCGCAAAGACAAAGGUUUUCUCAAAAUGAUGGGUCUAAGUAAGAAUUCAGACUUGACAUGUUUAAAAGAGUCGUACAUUCCCUUUGACUACUUGUAUGAGAGGUAUGGUCACAACAAAUCAUACCGUACUUAUCCUGAUGUAUUUGUCCUUACAUUAGUGCGGCAUAUUCACCGAAGGGUAUUUGUUUUCAUAUUAUGUUUCAUGCGGAUAAUAGUAUUUCCAAUGAAGAAAUCAAGGAUCUAUACCAGGCUAGCUAUGGUUACCAAAACUCUAAUAGAAGGAAUAGACAGACAACCAUUCACUCUUGUACCAAUGAUCAUUGCAGAAAUAUACCAAGGCUUGGAAAAGUGUCAACAAAGAGCCAAACACUUUGAGGGUCAUAAUCUGCUACUUCAACUUUGGCUUGUAGAACAUCUCCAAAAGGGUGAGUACCGACAGGAAAUCCAUCGAAGGGACUGGGAUGAUCAAAUUGCUUUUCAUCACCCUAGGGGAAUGAAUUACAUGCCCAACGUAUUCGCCCAACCGGUGAAUGCUAGAGAAUGGGUCGAACUCUUUGAAAAUAUGACUCAGGAUCGAGUACAAUAGAUGUUCGAGUGGUUCCCAAUUGAAGAGUUCAUCGUCCAAUCCAGGGACGCACCUUUCCUUAUACUAAUCGGCUUAAGAGGAAAGUACCCAUACGCACCUCUUCGAGUCAUGAUACAAGCAGGUUGGAAGCAAGUUAUACCAAGGGUCGACAAGAUAAGUCACUUCCUGGCUGACUUCCAGAAUGAAGAUAGCCUUACAAGUGCCAGGCGCAGCACAUGUGGCAUUGCAAAAUUGUCAUGGGAAAGGACACCAUUGAACUAGACAGAUACCACAUGGGUUGUGAGCCCUAUUAAAUAGGUUGGUUGGAGGAUAAUCAUAAUGGUCUGGGUCACCCUGGGUUUCUUCGAGGCAACCGGAUCAUAGAUGAAAAGGUCGAAGCACAUGUCAAGUACGGCCAUCUGCGCAAGAGAAUUCAACAAUGCAAAAGCAAGCACAGUCAGAUAUAGGAAACUAAUCAAAAACUAAUUGAAGAAUUGAAGGAUAUGGUUGCCAGUGAUAAAAACAUUUCGUCUUUUUUGAGCGAGGUAUAGUAGAGUUGGAGAAGAAGUUUCUGAAGAGGGUCAAGACUGCCGGGCUGCUGAAGGAAAUGAAGGCGGACAUCUGGCUAGAGCCUACUUGUUGUUGGUACUGCGUGAGAUAGGGAAGCUAUUUGAUGGAGACAAUGAUGCCGAAUCUGGGGAAGGUCCCUCUGGGACGAAAUAGAUAGGAAUCUCCAUGUUCGCUAAUAAGGCCAACGACCACUAGUGUUUUUAUUUCCUUGUUAUUUAGUGUCAUUUUGGGAUUCGUCUACUUUUUUAUUUAUGAAAUGAGGCAUUUAGCAUUCGAAUUUCUCCAAAUCAACUUGUCGCUAGGUCUACCUUGGGCAUAACGAGGUCCCCAAAAUUAGGACGUGCUUUAUACUUCAGUACUACAUGUUUAAAUAUUGCAACAAUGUUCUAGUGAUCCUCAAUAACUUGUUACCUUUUUGUUUUUACUUUUUUGUUUAUUCCUCUUCACAUAGGUUAGUUUGUGAAUUCUGGCAACAUCAUUAUAUUUUACGAGAUCCAGGGGCCCUCUACCUAAUCCUCCUCCUAGCCCUGUUAGACACAAAAACAAACGAAACAUGGAAGACUUGAACAACUCAACUAAACAGGUAGAGGUCACUCAUGGUGCUCUGGGCUAUUGACGUCACCUUUCGGAAGGUUGUUAUGUUGUUUCAGCUCAAUAUUAGUAUUGCCUGAGGCUUUGAGAUUUGGCAUUGAUUUUUAUGGUGAGUUUCAAUCAUGCAAUAUUUGUGUAAUGGUAGGGUGCUUGCCUAUGCGUCGAAGUAGUGAAUAAAUUGAAAAGAGGUUUGCGUAGUGCACAAUUCAGAUAUUUUGUAUUUUAUUUUCGUAGGAGAAAAGGCAAUUAGAUUAUGAAUAUUCAAGUUUGGGUUGAUGGAGUAACGAGACUUGAUAUUUUCAAGCGUGUUAUAAUUUUCAUCAGUAAUAUGGUGUCAUCACCCUUCAUCGAAUGUGUUAAGUUUGUUGGUGUUAUGGUCUUUAUCAUUUAUCCUCGGGGUAGAGUAGUGUGAGAUGGUGCCGAAGAAACAGUUGUCAGAGAUAGUGGAGUGUAGCAUUUUCAGAAUUCAAAUGGUGCAGUGGAGAAUGUAACGAACUGAUCGAUCGUUUUGAACUCUUGCAUGUCAUUCGGUAGUUUGAGGCCAUGAGUAGCUUAAUUUUAUGUAUAUGACUUGAAUGCAUGAUCGGAAUUGGUGUUUCGAUAGUUCAGAGUUGAUUUGGAAAGAAAAUUCUCAUUUCAGAAGCAUUAAGUUGGAAGAAUUGACUAAGGAUGGAUUUUUCAGCAUAUGACAUUGGAAUCGGGAUUUGAAGUUUCCAGGAGGUUUGUAUGAUGAUUUCUGACUUGGGCGUAUGGUUAUAUCGGGUUUUGGAAGACUCGGAUAUGGAUUUUGGAGGUCCGUAGGUCAUGUCUGGGUUAAUUGGCGAAAGUUAAAAAAUUGAAGGUUUUUGAGAAGUUUGGUGGGAGGUGGACUUUUUGAUAUCAGGGUUGGAAUCUUAUUCUAGAAGUUAGAGUAGGUAUGUAAUGUUGAACGUGAGCUGUGUGCAAAAUUUGAGGUCAAUCGGACGUGAUUUGAUAGGUUUCAGCAUCGAAUGCAGAGGUUUGAAGUUCUAAAGUUUAUAAAGCUUGAAUUAAGGUGUGAUUCCUGAUUUUAGUGUUUUGUGAUGUGAUUUGAGGCCUUGAGCAAGUCCGUUUCAUGUUUUGGAAUGCAUUUGUAUAAUUGGUUGAUGUCCCGAGGGCCUCGGGUGGAUUCCGGAUGGUUAAAAGGUUGGUUUUUGGACUUAUGAUUUUCUGAAGCUUAAGACUUCUGGUGUAAUCAUACCUGCGUGAUGUUAGCAACAAGUGUGAGACCACAGGUGCGGCGUGUCGGUUGCGAAAGCGAAAAUGGACUGGAGCUGGUAGGGCCCCAAGUGCGACAAAUUUCCCGCAAGGAGCAGAUUUUGUCUUCAAAUGUGGACCUAGCUGAACCUCACAUACGAUGGGAAUUUUGUAGGUGCGGAGCCGCAAAAGAGGCUAGUGGACCGCAUGUGCGAAUGUUGGUUGGGUAGUGAACUUAUAUUGCGGGAUUUGGCCCAUUUUUCUUUCAUUUGUCUCUUGGUUGGGCGAUUUUUGGAAAGUUUCAAGCGGGGGGUUUCAUUACGUAUGCCAAGGUAAGUUAUUCCCAUCCGUUGUAAGUCAAAUACAAUGGUGGUUCCUCUAGUGGUAAGUACCUUCCACUUCUAACCAUGAGGUUGUGAGUUCAAGUUACCCCAAUGCCAACAUGUGGAGUUCUUAGAGGGAAGAAUGCCGAGGGUCUAUGGAAAAUAGCAUAUCUAUCCAAGGGUAGGGGUAAGGUAUGCAUACACACUACCCUCUGCAGACCCCACUAGUAGAAUUAUACUGAGUUGUUGUUAUUAUUGUAUGCCAAGAUAAGUUAUUUCCAGCUAUUGUAAGUCAAAUAUAUGGUUUUUAUAUGGAUUCAAGGAUGAAAAUUUGUAGAAAAUUAGAAAUUUUGGUAGAAAACCUAGAAAAUGAUAUUGUUGAAAUUUGACCCAGUAUUAGGGAUAGAAUUUGAGAAUAGAUCAUAUAUUUGAGUUUUUGGUGUUAUGGGUAAAUUUUAUCUUAGAAAUUUUUGGAAUUCGGGCAUGUGGUACAUAAUUUUAUUGACUUUUCGAGUGGAGUUGUGAAUUGUAAUAAAUUGGAUUAUAAUGAGUAUUUGAGUAUAUAUGGGUUUGCAUAAAUUUUAACUAGUUUUGGAGCGUGAGGCAUCGAUUUGAGCCGUCGUAAAGGUUUGAGAAUCGAUUAUAGAUCUUCGAAGUGAGGUAAGUCUCCUUUCUAAACUUGUAAGAAGGAAUUAUCUCAUAGGUGAAGUAAUUCAGUAUGUGCUGCUAUUUGUGGGGGCUAUGUACGCACGAGACGACGAGAGUUCGUGCGGAACUACUUUUAUGCUCAUGUCCAAGUAGUCUAAAGCCAAAAUCAUGUUAUAUUUUUUGCGAUGCUUGCAUCCUACUUAUUAGUUUAAUUGUUUCAAAUACAUUGGAACUUGAAAAAGGAAUUUCAAGAUGGUAAAUAUCACCUACUUACGUUUUGGACAGAUCACUUGGCCAUUAAUGGAAUUUGAUAUUUUUUAAGAUUAACCCUUAAUAAAUUAUUGAUUUGGUUGUUUGAAUGUAUUUCUUUCUUUCUGGAGCGGGCCAAAUGCUUCGGUAGACUUAAUAGAUGAUUCUAUGGUUCGUGUCGUUCGACACUCGACAAUGAACAAUUUAAAUAUUUAUGUCGGAUCAGACUUUAUGACAUCGGCAUGUUUGCACAUGGUUUAAUUGGUUUCUUUGAAAUCUAUAAUAAUUGAUUUUGCUUCAUUAGCCUGAGAUAUGAAGAUAAAUGAUUAAAAUAAUUUUGAAAAUCUUCUAUUAAUAAAAAAAUUAUUUAGUUGCUUCAUGUUAUUCAAUUUACAGUCGUUUUAUAUCUAAAAUUCAUAAUUCAUUAUUUCGACAAUAUAUUAUUACUGGCCAUAGUAAGUGUCGGAGUCGGUCUCUCGUCACUACUUCUUCGAGGUUAGACUGGAUACAUAUUAGAUACGCGUUGUCUUCAUACUCAUACUAUACUUGAUGUACAUUUUAUUGUACAGGCCCAUAUAUAUUUAAUGUCCUUGUGGGCGCAGCGAUGUGGUUGAUACGGGGACUUAGGUGCGCUGCAUCCUACUUUACGAACUGCAGCCAACAGAAUCUCCUUUAGAGUAUUUAUAUUUUCUCUGGAGAAAUGUUGUAUUUUAUUUUAUUUUUCCUAGUUGAUGCUCAUGUACAUGUGACACUCGAUUUUGGGGUGAUUGUGGGUUGUUCAGUAUUGAAAUAGUUAAAAUAUUAUUAUAUACUCUGUAAUUGCAUCCUUUUUACUACUAAAUUGAAGGA
Molecule: long non-coding RNA, 11003 nt
Filed under: Nicotiana benthamiana
Lineage: Eukaryota; Viridiplantae; Streptophyta; Magnoliopsida; Solanales; Solanaceae
Description: long non-coding RNA (NBEN_LNC036911)
Source: RNAcentral